UAACCACCAAAGGUGAAGCCUCUGCUUCCCAGCUAGCACAGUGCUUCCUAAGAGGGUGAAAAUCAGCUCAAACUCGAGGACGUGGGAGUCUGGGGAAGGGAGGCUGCAGAUCCAUGUUCUCUACAAUGCAGAGAGGAAGGGUUAAGGAACAGAUAUGAAGACAGAAAUGUUCACAAUGAUUGGAGGGCUGAAAAAUGUCUUGAAAUAUUCUUAAAUAUUCACCACAAGCCUAGCCCUGUGUUAGGUUCUUUCACACAACUGUUCUUUAUUUGUCAUAAGCAUCUGUCUGGGAAAGUAGGACCUAGUGUCAACUUCUUAAAGCAUCGUUGGAGUUUAGGGUCAGGGCACAUCUCCUCUCGUACUAACUACUUUCCCUUCCCAUCUUUGCAGUACCCAGGUAACGUGUUCAUAGCACAGAUGCAAGUACCAAUACUUCUGUAUUGCCGUGAGGAACACAGAUGCCUACCACUACAUUGCCAGACACCAAGACCCAUUUUCAGGGGUGGAGGUGUUUGUUCCAAGCAAUGAGGAGCUGCUUCAGUGGAUGCUCCAUCUGGCAUUCAGAUGCCAAGAAACGAUCAAAGAGAAAGGGACUCCCAAACCCUCACUAAGCACCACUAAAAAGAGACUCUUGUUUUGGAGGUAGUGGAGUGGUGGAUAUGAUCAAAUGUAUUGUGUGUAUGUAUGAAAUGUGACAAGAAUAAAUAGAUAAUGCUAUUGUUUGAAAAGAA
Mastomys coucha (southern multimammate mouse) is the source of this 731-nucleotide long non-coding RNA. RefSeq lists it as uncharacterized. The record is from RefSeq and is a predicted model, not a curated record. NCBI's taxonomy places the organism in Eukaryota, Metazoa, Chordata, Mammalia, Rodentia, Muridae. The transcript has 4 exons.